RNAcentral lists this ribosomal RNA (110 nucleotides) under uncultured eukaryote. RNAcentral's name for it is "partial small subunit ribosomal RNA". It matches the Rfam family "Eukaryotic small subunit ribosomal RNA", at positions 1676 to 1785 of the family's 1831-position model. The record is from RNAcentral.
UCGCACCUACCGAUUGAACGUUCCGGUGAGACCUUGGGAUUCUGUCUUUUUGGAUUUAUUUUCAGUUUGACGGAAGAACUUGAGCAAACCUUAACGUUUAGAGGAAGGUG